RNAcentral lists this ribosomal RNA (1343 nucleotides) under uncultured bacterium. RNAcentral describes it as "16S ribosomal RNA". It matches the Rfam family "Bacterial small subunit ribosomal RNA", at positions 28 to 1378 of the family's 1533-position model. The record is from RNAcentral.
GACGAACGCUGGCGGCGUGCUUAACACAUGCAAGUCGAACGGAAAGGCCCUGCUUUUGUGGGGUGCUCGAGUGGCGAACGGGUGAGUAACACGUGAGUAACCUGCCCUUGACUUUGGGAUAACUUCAGGAAACUGGGGCUAAUACCGGAUAGGAGCUCCUGCUGCAUGGUGGGGGUUGGAAAGUUUCGGCGGUUGGGGAUGGACUCGCGGCUUAUCAGCUUGUUGGUGGGGUAGUGGCUUACCAAGGCUUUGACGGGUAGCCGGCCUGAGAGGGUGACCGGCCACAUUGGGACUGAGAUACGGCCCAGACUCCUACGGGAGGCAGCAGUGGGGAAUAUUGCACAAUGGGCGGAAGCCUGAUGCAGCGACGCCGCGUGCGGGAUGACGGCCUUCGGGUUGUAAACCGCUUUCGCCUGUGACGAAGCGUGAGUGACGGUAAUGGGUAAAGAAGCACCGGCUAACUACGUGCCAGCAGCCGCGGUGAUACGUAGGGUGCGAGCGUUGUCCGGAUUUAUUGGGCGUAAAGGGCUCGUAGGUGGUUGAUCGCGUCGGAAGUGUAAUCUCGGGGCUUAACCCUGAGCGUGCUUUCGAUACGGGUUGACUUGAGGAAGGUAGGGGAGAAUGGAAUUCCUGGUGGAGCGGUGGAAUGCGCAGAUAUCAGGAGGAACACCAGUGGCGAAGGCGGUUCUCUGGGCCUUUCCUGACGCUGAGGAGCGAAAGCGUGGGGAGCGAACAGGCUUAGAUACCCUGGUAGUCCACGCUGUAAACGGUGGGUACUAGGUGUGGGGUCCAUUCCACGGGUUCCGUGCCGUAGCUAACGCUUUAAGUACCCCGCCUGGGGAGUACGACCGCAAGGCUAAAACUCAAAGGAAUUGACGGGGCCCCGCACAAGCGGCGGAGCAUGCGGAUUAAUUCGAUGCAACGCGUAGAACCUUACCUGGGUUUGACAUGGAUCGGGAGUGCUCAGAGAUGGGUGUGCCUCUUUUGGGGUCGGUUCACAGGUGGUGCAUGGCUGUCGUCAGCUCGUGUCGUGAGAUGUUGGGUUAAGUCCCGCAACGAGCGCAACCCUUGUUCACUGUUGCCAGCACGUUAUGGUGGGGACUCAGUGGAGACCGCCGGGGUCAACUCGGAGGAAGGUGGGGAUGACGUCAAGUCAUCAUGCCCCUUAUGUCCAGGGCUUCACGCAUGCUACAAUGGCUGGUACAGAGAGUGGCGAGCCUGUGAGGGUGAGCGAAUCUCGGAAAGCCGGUCUCAGUUCGGAUUGGGGUCUGCAACUCGACCUCAUGAAGUCGGAGUCGCUAGUAAUCGCAGAUCAGCAACGCUGCGGUGAAUACGUUCCCGGG